Molecule: ribosomal RNA, 705 nt
Filed under: Triticum aestivum (bread wheat)
Lineage: Eukaryota; Viridiplantae; Streptophyta; Magnoliopsida; Poales; Poaceae
Description: partial small subunit ribosomal RNA
Source: RNAcentral
AUGCCCAAUGGCAGUCUCGACAGUCACCUUUACAGUACGCAGGAUGUAUUGACGUGGCCGGUCAGGCAUGAGAUAGUGUUGGGGAUCAGCUCAGCGCUUCUGUAUUUGCACCAAGAGUGGGAGCAAUGUGUAUUGCACCGGGACAUCAAGCCGAGCAACAUCAUGCUGGACACGUGCUUCAGCACCAAACUUGGCGACUUCGGGCUCGCAAGGCUCGUUGACCAUUGCCAUGGGUCGCACACGACAGAUCUCGCCGGCACCAUGGGGUAUAUGGACCCGGACUGCAUGGUGACAGGCAGGGCCACCACCGAGUUAGACAUCUACAGCUUUGGCGUCGUCCUACUCGAGAUAGCCUGUGGACGCAGGCCUGUCGUGGUCCUGCCAGAUGACAGUGUGAUCCACCUGGCUAAACGGGUGUCGGAGUUGUGCAGCCAGGGAAGGGUCCUUGACGCUGCGGACUCAAGGCUGAUCGGGGAGUUCGACGUCCGGGAAAUGGAAUGCGCGAUCAUCGUCGGGCUCUGGUGCACUGCCCAUGACCGGAGCCUGAGACCUUCCAUUAGGCAGGCCACCAGCGUGCUAAGGUUCGAGGCUCCACUACCGAGCCUCCCCACAAGGAUGCCGGUUGGCCCACCAGGCUCUCUUCUUCCAUCUUUGCUUGUUUCUGAUGACCAUAGCAAUAAAACUAGCAGCACGCACCUCAGCUAG